Molecule: non-coding RNA, 457 nt
Organism: Cinara cedri
Lineage: Eukaryota; Metazoa; Arthropoda; Insecta; Hemiptera; Aphididae
Source: the annotation of a GenBank genome assembly
GGUUAAUUUACCGUGGUCCAUGACUCAAUCGAAUUAAUCGUUUUCGUUUGAUCCUCGAUCGCCUACGCCGACGCGAGCUAAGUCGACUAAAAAUGUAUUUUUUAUUAGCCGUGUACCGUAAUUUUUUUUUAUAGGUACCUAUUUGGUGUUGCACCGGGUUCCGGAUAUGGGUGCCGGGGGAGGGUCGCGGCGAUCGUUACGCGCGGCGUUACAAAUGUAAACGAAAUUCGCGUGCUUCCCGUGGCCCCGCGCCGUUCAUGACACAGUCCGAUUUCCUGCCGUCGCCCCCCGGCCGCCGAUCAGGCGAUCGUUAGAUUAGCGUUCGGAUAUUAUUAUUAUAUAAUAUUUCACGUCGAUUUUUUUUUUUUUUUUUUUAUUAUUUUUCUCCCCGUUCUUGCAUAAUUCAAUAGCAUUACAGCGUACACGUAUACAGUGAUACAGAGAUAAUGGCGGACGC